CGCCGCUGAACAAAUGUAAUGACUUAGAUGAAACGAUGGAAGGUAUGGUUGCCAAAUAUGCUGACAACACAAAGUAAGAUUGAAUUCCCAUCAAUAAAUGAAAUGGUGGUAUAAAGUGAAGGUUGACCUCCGCACCCACCCCGCCAAACCUCUGAGAACUAAAACCGAAGCACCCAAAGAGGAACACCUCACCACAUAAUCUGUAAAAGGAGGGUGAAAAGAUUGUUGCAGAAAUAAUGUGCCAGUUCGGUGACUGUCAAUGGAAUGUCACACACGUCAGUGAAACUCCAAAAUGGGAGAAACUUUUCAAGAAGAGAUAAUGAGGGGCCGCCUGUCCCUACACUCAUGGCAGAAAACUACCUCUUGCAGACAUGAAUUGUUUUACCCUCCAGAGCUAAACAGAAAAGAUGUUUAAAAGCCUGUUUCAAGUAUUUGCAUGCUGUUUAGCCUAGUCAAAAAACUAGUUACCCCAGUGUUGCAGGUAACUACCCAGGCUUAACUCCAUCUGCUGCAAUCCUGCUAAAAAGGAACCAGGACAACAAAGGACUCUCUCUCACCCUGAAUGCUGGAAUUCAAUCACAGUUGAAAGGCACUGGGACUUCAACAAGCCUACAAACCCAAGCAUCACAAAAUAAUGACUGUUCAAUUAUCAGCACCAAGUCUACUUGUAACCUUCUACUGCAACAACAGCAAUGCUCAACUAUCCACUCUUAGCCAACAACUCAGAUGCUGAUAUGUAUUUCUGUGUGUGUCUUUUUAAAAAAACUUUUAUUUCUAAUCCUUGUGUAUUUAUAUCUUGUGUUACUAAUUCUACCCACAUUUAGUAUUUAAUAAAUUAAAAUUUGUUAAUUCA
This is a long non-coding RNA of Rhincodon typus (whale shark), 853 nucleotides long. RefSeq lists it as uncharacterized. The record is from RefSeq and is a predicted model, not a curated record. The transcript is spliced from 3 exons. Lineage: Eukaryota; Metazoa; Chordata; Chondrichthyes; Orectolobiformes; Rhincodontidae.